UACGUAGGGUGCGAGCGUUGUCCGGAAUUACUGGGCGUAAAGAGCUCGUAGGUGGUUUGUCGCGUUGUUCGUGAAAACUCACAGCUUAACUGUGGGCGUGCGGGCGAUACGGGCAGACUGGAGUACUGCAGGGGAGACUGGAAUUCCUGGUGUAGCGGUGGAAUGCGCAGAUAUCUGGAGGAACACCGGUGGCGAAGGCGGCAUCCUGGACCGGCAUUGACGCUGAGGCGCGAAAGCCAGGGGAGCAAACGGG
RNAcentral lists this ribosomal RNA (253 nucleotides) under uncultured bacterium. RNAcentral's name for it is "partial 16S ribosomal RNA". It matches the Rfam family "Bacterial small subunit ribosomal RNA", at positions 524 to 776 of the family's 1533-position model. The record is from RNAcentral.